AAUCCAACUUUCAGAAGUUUGUCCACUUCUUCGGCUAUCGCUUUCUGCCUCUCCGAUGCAUGACCUCGGACAUUUUCUUUCAUCGGUCGUUGCUUUGGAUCGACGGCCAGACGGUGUUCCAUGACUUCUGUGUCAAUCCCCGGCAUGUCUGCUGGAAUCCAAGCGAAAACAUCCGCAUUCUUUCGUAGGAAAUCAAUGAGAUGCAUCCACACCUCUUCCCCC
Molecule: long non-coding RNA, 222 nt
Filed under: Elaeis guineensis (African oil palm)
Lineage: Eukaryota; Viridiplantae; Streptophyta; Magnoliopsida; Arecales; Arecaceae
Description: long non-coding RNA (EGUI_LNC040455)
Source: RNAcentral